GACGAACGCUGGCGGCGUGCCUAAUACAUGCAAGUAGAACGCUGAAGAGAGGAGCUUGCUCUUCUUGGAUGAGUUGCGAACGGGUGAGUAACGCGUAGGUAACCUGCCUGGUAGCGGGGGAUAACUAUUGGAAACGAUAGCUAAUACCGCAUAAAAUGGAUUAUCGCAUGAUAAUCCAUUGAAAGGUGCAAAUGCAUCACUACCAGAUGGACCUGCGUUGUAUUAGCUAGUUGGUGGGGUAACGGCUCACCAAGGCGACGAUACAUAGCCGACCUGAGAUGGUGAUCGGCCACACUGAGACUGAGACACGGCCCAGACUCCUACGGGAGGCAGCAGUAGGGAAUCGUCGGCAAUGGACGGAAGUCUGACCGAGCAACGCCGCGUGAGUGAAGAAGGUUUUCGGAUCGUAAAGCUCUGUUGUAAGAGAAGAACGAGUGUGAGAGUGGAAAGUUCACACUGUGACGGUAUCUUACCAGAAAGGGACGGCUAACUACGUG
RNAcentral lists this ribosomal RNA (497 nucleotides) under uncultured bacterium. RNAcentral's name for it is "partial 16S ribosomal RNA". It matches the Rfam family "Bacterial small subunit ribosomal RNA", at positions 28 to 507 of the family's 1533-position model. The record is from RNAcentral.